AGUUAAGUGACUAAGCGUACAAGGUGGAUGCCUUGGCAAUCAGAGGCGAUGAAGGACGUGCUAAUCUGCGAAAAGCUUGGAUGAGUCGAUAAGAGGCGUUUAAUCCAAGAUGUCCGAAUGGGGAAACCCAGUAGAUGAAGAAUCUACUAUCAACAAGUGAAUACAUAGCUUGUUGAGGCAAACCGGGAGAACUGAAACAUCUAAGUACCCCGAGGAAAAGAAAUCAACCGAGAUUUCGUUAGUAGCGGCGAGCGAACGCGAAGGAGCCUGUUAGUGAUAGCGACAGAGACAGAGGAACAAGCUGGGAAGCUUGGCGAUACCGGGUGAUAGCCCCGUACUCGAAGUCCAGGUCGUGGUACUAAGCUAACGAUAAGUAGGGCGGGACACGUGAUAUCCUGUUUGAAGAUGGGGGGACCAUCCUCCAAGGCUAAAUACUCCUGAUUGACCGAUAGUGAACCAGUACUGUGAAGGAAAGGCGAAAAGAACCCCGGUGAGGGAGUGAAAUGAACCUGAAACCUUGUACGUACAAGCAGUGGGAGCCCUUUAAGGGUGACUGCGUACCUUUUGUAUAAUGGGUCAGCGACUUAUAUUUUGUAGCGAGGUUAACCGAAUAGGGGAGCCGAAGGGAAACCGAGUCUUAACUGGGCGAAUAGUUGCAAGGUAUAGACCCGAAACCCGGUGAUCUAGCCAUGGGCAGGUUGAAGGUUGGGUAACACUAACUGGAGGACCGAACCGACUAAUGUUGAAAAUUAGCGGAUGACUUGUGGCUGGGGGUGAAAGGCCAAUCAAACCGGGAGAUAGCUGGUUCUCCCCGAAAUCUAUUUAGGUAGAGCCUUGAGCGGACACCUUCGGGGGUAGAGCACUGUUUCGGCUAGGGGUCCAUCCCGGAUUACCAACCCGAUGCAAACUACGAAUACCGAAGAGUGAUACUCAGGAGACACACGGCGGGUGCUAACGUCCGUCGUGGAGAGGGAAACAACCCAGACCGCCAGCUAAGGUCCCAAAGUCUAUAUUAAGUGGGAAACGAAGUGGGAAGGCUUAGACAGCUAGGAUGUUGGCUUAGAAGCAGCCAUCAUUUAAGAAAGCGUAAUAGCUCACUAGUCGAGUCGGCCUGCGCGGAAGAUGUAACGGGGCUCAAAUAUAGCACCGAAGCUGCGGCAUCAGUGGCAACACUGUUGGUAGGGGAGCGUUCUGUAAGCGGAUGAAGGUAGCUCGAGAGGGCUGCUGGACGUAUCAGAAGUGCGAAUGCUGACAUAAGUAACGAUAAAACGGGUGAAAAACCCGUUCGCCGGAAGACCAAGGGUUCCUGUCCAACGUUAAUCGGGGCAGGGUGAGUCGGCCCCUAAGGCGAGGCUGAAAAGCGUAGUCGAUGGGAAACGGGUUAAUAUUCCCGUACUUGGAUAAACUGCGAUGUGGGGACGGAGCAGGUUAGGUUAGCGCACUGUUGGAUAUGUGCGUUUAAGUUGGUAGGUGAGAAGUUUAGGCAAAUCCGGACUUCUUUAACACUGAGAGAUGAUGACGAGGCUCUACGGAGCUGAAGUAACCGAUACCACACUUCCAGGAAAAGC
This is a non-coding RNA of Haemophilus pittmaniae HK 85, 1568 nucleotides long. Lineage: Bacteria; Pseudomonadati; Pseudomonadota; Gammaproteobacteria; Pasteurellales; Pasteurellaceae. The record is from Rfam.